This is a long non-coding RNA of Quercus robur (English oak), 712 nucleotides long. RefSeq lists it as uncharacterized. The transcript is spliced from 3 exons. The record is from RefSeq and is a predicted model, not a curated record. NCBI's taxonomy places the organism in Eukaryota, Viridiplantae, Streptophyta, Magnoliopsida, Fagales, Fagaceae.
AGUCAAAUUCAAAUGGGCAAACUGUAAACAAUAGUCCAUAACAACACAGCAAGUAGAACCCUAAACAAAAAGCAAGCAAAAAAAAUGAGUGUGUCUGCGUCGUCCUCUCCACUCCACUUUCUUAUUCUCUUCUUCUUCUUAUACUACUGCUACUAGAACUAGUACUAUCUCACCCAAGAGAUUAGGCCGUGUUUGGUCUCAACGUUCUCUCUCACAUGUCAGUGCCAGUGCCACUGCAAGUACCACCACCCUUCGCCUUUUCAAUCUACCCACUCCACCAGGGCAUACCAAAAGCCAGAGUUGGAUGAUGGGCUCCAAGAUCAUGUUCAAGACCAAUUCUUUUGCAAUCCCAUUUGCUCAUUCUUCACAUAGACACUUCUUCUCUGCCUCUUCUUCCAAACCCGUCUCUAAAAUUCAUUCUUUACCCCUCCAGACUAAUGGCUUCUCUUCCAUCUCUCAUGCCAAUGUUCCCAGACCAGAUAUUUUGGAGAGCCCAGCAGAAACAACACAGUUGAAAAUCCUGAAACGGAAAUUGGAGGAGCUUGGAAUGGACACCGAAAUAUGCGUUCCGGGACAAUACAACCACUUGCAUUGUCCAAUGAUAUUUCCUUUUAAUUUUAGCUAUGUUACUAUAUCAUUGUAUGUUUUAGGGGUCGUUUGCUAAGACUAAUGCAGAUAGAAUUUGAAUGAUAGUAAGUACAAUGAAUUUUGC